UACGUAGGGGGCAAGCGUUGUCCGGAAUCAUUGGGCGUAAAGCGCGUGUAGGCGGCUUGGUAAGUCUGCUCUGAAAGCCCGGGGCUCAACCCCGGGAGGCGGGUGGAUACUGUCAAGCUCGAGUCCGGAAGAGGAGUGUGGAAUUCCGGGUGUAGUGGUGAAAUGCGUAGAGAUCCGGAGGAACACCAGUGGCGAAGGCGACACGCUGGGCCGUACCUGACGCUAAAGCGCGACAGCAUGGGGAGCAAACGGG
Molecule: ribosomal RNA, 253 nt
Filed under: uncultured bacterium
Lineage: Bacteria
Description: partial 16S ribosomal RNA
Rfam family: Bacterial small subunit ribosomal RNA
Source: RNAcentral